CCUACGGGAGGCAGCAGUGGGGAAUAUUGCGCAAUGGGGGAAACCCUGACGCAGCAACGCCGCGUGAGUGAGGAAGUAGCUCGGGAUGUAAAGCUCUAUCAGCGGGGAAGAAGGAAGACGGAACCCGACGAAGAAGCACCGGCUAACUACGUGCCAGCAGCCGCGGUAAUACGGAGGGGGCGAGCGUUCUCCGGAUUUACGGGGGGUAAAGGGAGCGUCGAAGGCGUCGAAAGUCUGAAGGGAAAGCCCGUGGCUCAACCGCGGAACCGCUUUGGAAACUGCGAGGCUUGAGUGCUGGUGAGGUACGCGGCAUUCCUGGUGUAGCGGUGAACUGCUUAGAUAUCAGGAGGCACUCCGGUGGCGAAGGCGGCUUACUGGACAGUGACUGCCGUUGAGGCUCGACAGCGUGGGGAGCGAACAGGAUUAGAUACCCAAGUAGUC
Molecule: ribosomal RNA, 441 nt
Filed under: uncultured bacterium
Lineage: Bacteria
Description: partial 16S ribosomal RNA
Rfam family: Bacterial small subunit ribosomal RNA
Source: RNAcentral